Molecule: ribosomal RNA, 400 nt
Filed under: uncultured bacterium
Lineage: Bacteria
Description: bacterial SSU rRNA
Rfam family: Bacterial small subunit ribosomal RNA
Source: RNAcentral
UGGGGAAUAUUGGACAAUGGGCGGAAGCCUGAUCCAGCCAUGCCGCGUGUGUGAAGAAGGCCUUAGGGUUGUAAAGCACUUUCAGUGGGGAGGAAGGCCUUAAAGUUAAUACCUUUGAGGAUUGACGUUACCCACAGAAGAAGCACCGGCUAACUCCGUGCCAGCAGCCGCGGUAAUACGGAGGGUGCAAGCGUUAAUCGGAAUUACUGGGCGUAAAGCGCACGUAGGCGGUUAGUUAAGCUAGCUGUGAAAUCCCCGGGCUCAACCUGGGAAUUGCAGUUAGAACUGGCUAGCUAGAGUAUGGUAGAGGGGUGUGGAAUUCCAGGUGUAGCGGUGAAAUGCGUAGAUAUCUGGAGGAACAUCAGUGGCGAAGGCGACACCCUGGACCAAUACUGACGCU